GAUGAACGCUGACAGAAUGCUUAACACAUGCAAGUCAACUGUGGCGGACGGGUGAGUAACGCGUAAAGAUCUUGCCUCACGGAUAGGGACAACAUUUGGAAACGAAUGCUAAUACCUGAUACUGUGAGAGAGCUUUGCGUCCAAUUAGCUAGUUGGAGAGGUAACGGCUCACCAAGGCGAGGAUGGGUAGCCGGCCUGAGAGGGUGAUCGGCCACAAGGGGACUGAGAAGCGGCCAUUAGUCAUUCGGGCGGCAGCAGUGGGGAAUAUUGGACAAUGGACCAAAGUCUGAUGCAGCAAUUCUGUGUGCAAGAUGAAGUUUUCGGAAUGUACAGUGCUGUCAGUUGGGAAGCGGUACCAACAGAAGAAGUGACGGCUAAAUACGUGCCAGCAGCCGCGGUAAUAC
This 404-nucleotide ribosomal RNA is filed under the name uncultured bacterium. RNAcentral's name for it is "partial 16S ribosomal RNA". It matches the Rfam family "Bacterial small subunit ribosomal RNA", at positions 28 to 526 of the family's 1533-position model. The record is from RNAcentral.